GUCUUAGUGGUGUAUAAACAUAAUAAGUUGUAAACUUAAAGAUGCUACGGCCUAGGCUA
This 59-nucleotide transfer RNA is filed under the name Pseudoniphargus pedrerae. RNAcentral describes it as "tRNA-Tyr". The record is from RNAcentral. Lineage: Eukaryota; Metazoa; Arthropoda; Malacostraca; Amphipoda; Allocrangonyctidae.